RNAcentral lists this ribosomal RNA (490 nucleotides) under uncultured bacterium. Its description in RNAcentral is "partial 16S ribosomal RNA". It matches the Rfam family "Bacterial small subunit ribosomal RNA", at positions 30 to 507 of the family's 1533-position model. The record is from RNAcentral.
AUUGAACGCUGGCGGCAGGCCUAACACAUGCAAGUCGAACGGUAACAGGAAACAGCUUGCUGUUUCGCUGACGAGUGGCGGACGGGUGAGUAAUGUCUGGGAAACUGCCUGAUGGAGGGGGAUAACUACUGGAAACGGUAGCUAAUACCGCAUAACGUCGCAAGACCAGAGAGGGGGACCUUCGGGCCUCUUGCCAUCGGAUGUGCCCAGAUGGGAUUAGCUAGUAGGUGGGGUAACGGCUCACCUAGGCGACGAUCCCUAGCUGGUCUGAGAGGAUGACCAGCCACACUGGAACUGAGACACGGUCCAGACUCCUACGGGAGGCAGCAGUGGGGAAUAUUGCACAAUGGGCGCAAGCCUGAUGCAGCCAUGCCGCGUGUAUGAAGAAGGCCUUCGGGUUGUAAAGUACUUUCAGCGGGGAGGAAGGGAGUAAAGUUAAUACCUUUGCUCAUUGACGUUACCCGCAGAAGAAGCACCGGCUAACUCCGUG